UACGAAGGGGGCGAGCGUUGUUCGGAAUUACUGGGCGUAAAGCGUGCGCAGGCGGUUUUGUAAGCCAGAUGUGAAAUCCCCGGGCUUAACCUGGGAAUGGCAUUUGGGACUGCAAGGCUGGAGUUUGGCAGAGGAGACUGGAAUUCCUGGUGUAGCAGUGAAAUGCGUAGAUAUCAGGAGGAAUACCGAUGGCGAAGGCAGGUCUCUGGGCAUUAACUGACGCUGAGGAGCGAAAGCAUGGGGAGCGAACAGG
RNAcentral lists this ribosomal RNA (253 nucleotides) under uncultured bacterium. RNAcentral describes it as "partial 16S ribosomal RNA". It matches the Rfam family "Bacterial small subunit ribosomal RNA", at positions 524 to 776 of the family's 1533-position model. The record is from RNAcentral.